GACGAACGCUGGCGGCGUGCUUAACACAUGCAAGUCGAACGGAAAGGCCCUGCUUUUUUGGGGUUCUCGAUUGGCGAACGGGUGAGUAACACGUGAGUAACCUGCCCUUGACUUUGGGAUAACUUCAGGAAACUGGGGCUAAUACCGGAUAGGAGCUCCUGCUGCAUGGUGGGGGUUGGAAAGUUUCGGCGGUUGGGGAUGGACUCGCGGCUUAUCAGCUUGUUGGUGGGGUAGUGGCUUACCAAGGGUUUGACGGGUAGCCGGCCUGAGAGGGUGACCGGCCACAUUGGGACUGAGAUACGGCCCAGACUGCAACGGGAGGCAGCAGUGGGGAAUAUUGCACAAUGGGCGGAAGCCUGAUGCAGCAACGCCGCGUGCGGGAUGACGGCCUUCGGGUUGUAAACCGAUUUCGCCUGUGACGAAGCGUGAGUGACGGUAAUGGGUAAAGAAGCACCGGCUAACUACGUG
This 468-nucleotide ribosomal RNA is filed under the name uncultured bacterium. Its description in RNAcentral is "partial 16S ribosomal RNA". It matches the Rfam family "Bacterial small subunit ribosomal RNA", at positions 28 to 507 of the family's 1533-position model. The record is from RNAcentral.